This 254-nucleotide ribosomal RNA is filed under the name uncultured bacterium. RNAcentral describes it as "partial 16S ribosomal RNA". It matches the Rfam family "Bacterial small subunit ribosomal RNA", at positions 524 to 776 of the family's 1533-position model. The record is from RNAcentral.
UACGGGGGGGGCAAGCGUUGUUCGGAAUUACUGGGCGUAAAGGGCUCGUAGGCGGCCAACUAAGCCGGAUGUGAAAUCCCCAGGCUUAACCUGGGAACUGCAUCCGAUACUGGAUGGCUUGAAUCCGGGAGAGGGAUGCAGAAUUCCAGGUGUAGCGGUGAAAUGCGUAGAUAUCAAGAGGAACACCUGAGGUGAAGACGGGUUGCUGGGCCGACACUGACGCUGAGUGCGCGAAAGCCAGGGGAGCAAACGGG